GCAUAUCAUUAAGCGGAGGAAAAGAAACUAACCAAGGAUUCCCCUUAGUAGCGGCGAGCGAAGCGGGAAGAGCUCCAAUUUGAAAAGCUGGCGUCCUACGGGCGUCCGCAUUGUGAUCUAUAGAGGCGUUUUCUGUGCUGGACCGUGUCCAAGUCCCUCUGGAACAGGGUAUCAAAGAGGGUGACAAUCCCGUACUUGACACUGACAACCAGUGCUCUGUGAUACGUCUUUCUACGAGUCGAGUUGUUUGGGAAUGCAGCUCAAAAUGGGUGGUGAAUUCCAUCUAAAGCUAAAUAUUGGCGAGAGACCGAUAGCGAACAAGUACCGUGAGGGAAAGAUGAAAAGCACUUUGGAAAGAGAGUUAAACAGUAUGUGAAAUUGUUGAAAGGGAAACGAUGGAGGUCAGUCGUGUCUGUGGGAUUCAGCCGUCUCUGGCGGUGUACUUCCCACAGACGGGUCAACAUCAGUUUUGGCUGGCGGAAAAGGCAGGAGGAAGGUGGCACCCCCGGGUGUGUUAUAGCCUCUUGUUGCAUACGCUGGCUGAGACUGAGGAAUGCAGCUCGCCUUUAUGGCCGGGGUUCGCCCACGUUCGAGCUUAGGAUGUUGACAUAAUGGCUUCUCUGACCCGUCUUGAAACACGGAACCA
This 646-nucleotide ribosomal RNA is filed under the name Saitozyma podzolica. RNAcentral describes it as "eukaryotic LSU rRNA". It matches the Rfam family "Eukaryotic large subunit ribosomal RNA", at positions 38 to 669 of the family's 3401-position model. Lineage: Eukaryota; Fungi; Basidiomycota; Tremellomycetes; Tremellales; Trimorphomycetaceae. The record is from RNAcentral.